GUGAGUCAUCGAAUCUUUGAACGCACCUUGCGCUCCUUGGUAUUCCGAGGAGCAUGCCUGUUUGAGUGUCAUGGUAUUCUCAACUCUACAAAGCUUUUGCAAUGAAGAGUUGGAUUUGGAGGCUUGUGUUGGCUCGAAAGAGUUGACUCCUCUGAAAUGCAUUAGUGUGAGCCUUUACGGAUCGCCUCCAGUGUGAUAAUGUCUACGCUGUGGUGUUGAAGUAUUUCUAGUGUUCAUGCUUCUAAUCGUCCUCUUGGGACAAUCAUUUGACAAUCUGACCUCAAAUCAGGUAGGACUACCCGCUGAACUUAA
Molecule: ribosomal RNA, 312 nt
Filed under: uncultured fungus
Lineage: Eukaryota; Fungi
Description: eukaryotic LSU rRNA
Rfam family: 5.8S ribosomal RNA (bases 1-71)
Source: RNAcentral